Molecule: ribosomal RNA, 2607 nt
Filed under: soil metagenome
Description: bacterial LSU rRNA
Rfam family: Bacterial large subunit ribosomal RNA
Source: RNAcentral
UCAAGCUACCAAGGGCACACGGUGGAUGCCUUGGCACCAAGAGCCGAUGAAGGACGUAGCGUUGUUGCGAUAAGCCUCGGGUAGCUGCUAGCAAGCACUCGAUCCGGGGAUUUCCGAAUGGGGCAACCCACCUGGAGGAAUGUCCAGGUACUCCCGGUUGAAUAUAUAGGCCGGGUAGAGGGCACGCGGAGAACUGAAACAUCUAAGUAUCCGCAGGAAAAGAUACCAUCCCCUGAGUAGUGGCGAGCGAAAAGGGGCGAGCCUAAACCGAGACGGCGUGAUAGCCGGCAGGCGUUUCCGUCUCGGGGUCGCGGGACCUCAGCGUUCCCUCUGCCGAGGGGGCAAGGAGUUACAAAGUCGUUGUCUAGCCGAACGGCAUUGGAAAAGCCGGCCGCAGAGGGUGACAGCCCCGUACGCGAAAGGCACACGACCUCCUUUGAGAGCUCCCAAGUACCACGGAACACGUGGAAUUCUGUGGGAAUCUGGGCGGACCAUCGUCCAAGCCUGAAUACUCUUGGUGACCGAUAGUGAACAAGUACCGUGAGGGAAAGGUGAAAAGCACCCCAGACGGGGAGUUAAAAGUACCUGAAACCGUGUGCUUACAAGCCGUGAGAGGGCUAUGCCCCUAGUGGGAAUGCCUGAUUGCGUGCCUUUUGUAGAAUGAGCCGGCGAGUUACUUCCAUGUGGCGAGGUUAAGGGGUUGACACCCGGAGCCGUAGCGAAAGCGAGUCUGAAUAGGGCGUGACCACCGUAAUGGUGGUGGUAGUCGCAUGGAGUAGACCCGAAACCGAGUGACCUAUCCAUGGUCAGGGUGAAGCGCGGGUAAGACCGCGUGGAAGCCCGAACCGACCCCAGUUGAAAAUGCGGCGGAUGAACUGUGGAUAGCGGUGAAAUGCCAAUCGAACUCGGAUAUAGCUGGUUCUCCUCGAAAUGCAUUUAGGUGCAGCGUCGUCAAUGGGUCUGUCGCUGGUAGAGCACUGAAUGGGCUAGGGGCGAUCACCUCGUUACCAAACCCAACCAAACUCCGAAUGGCGGCAGAUUUUCUGGCGGCAGUGAGACGGUGGGGGCUAAGCUUCAUCGUCGAAAGGGAAACAGCCCAGACCACCGGCUAAGGUCCCAAAUCGCAAGCUAAGUGGAAAAGGAUGUCACGAUGUCCAGACAACCAGGAUGUUGGCUUAGAAGCAGCCACCAUUGAAAGAGUGCGUAAUAGCUCACUGGUCGAAUGUCGUGGCGCCGACAAUGAUCGGGGCUCAAGCUUGCAACCGAAGCCGUGGAUGGCCCUCCCUUGGGAGGGUCGUGGUAGAGGAGCGUUCUGUGUGCCGAGAAGCCUGACCGUAAGGACGGGUGGAGCGCACAGAAGUGAGAAUGUCGGCACAAGUAGCGAGAAACGCGUGAGAAACGUGUUCGCCGUAAACCUAAGGUUUCCUGGGCAACGUUACUCGUCCCAGGGUCAGUCGGGACCUAAGCCGAGGCCGAAAGGCGUAGGCGAUGGACAGUUGGUCAACAUUCCAACACCGCCGCUGGUUCGUUAUCAGCAAUGGGGGAACGGGGAAGGAUAGGCCUGACGGGGCGACGGUUGUCCCCGACGGAGCCUUGUAGGAGGUCAAGUAGGCAAAUCCGCUUGACGCUAACUCCAAGAAGGAUCCCAAGACACUUUGUGUCGAUGGGGCCGAUUCCAUGCCUCCAAGAAAAGCCUCUAGCGAGAACCACGGCGCCCGUACCGCAGACCGACACAGGUAGGUGGGAAGAGGAUUCCAAGGCGAUCGAGGGAAACGUGGCUAAGGAACUCGGCAAAAUGUCCCCGUAACUUCGGGAGAAGGGGAGCCCUUGGCGGUGAUCCGAUUUACUCGGUGAGCUGACGAGGGCCGCAGAGAAAAGGCCCAUCCGACUGUUUACUAAAAACACAGGUCUCUGCUAAAGCGUAAGCUGACGUAUAGGGGCUGACGCCUGCCCGGUGCCGGAAGGUUAAGUGGAGGGGUGCAAGCUCUGAAAUGAAGCCCCGGUAAACGGCGGCCGUAACUAUCAACAUUGACCGUGGUAGUUAUAAAACCCGGCUAUUUGCUGGAAUCUCCGAGAAUCCCGCGCUACUGCAACGUGCAGUGACAAUGCGACGGGUGCGGACAAUCAGCAGGAAAGACUGCUCCGCGGAGCAGAAUCCUCAGAGGCCAUACGCCGGGCCCUCCGCGUGAGGGAUGAGAUGGUCCGAUCUCAUGGGCGACCAUGAGAGCUGGUACUCAAGCCAGCCACUCCAGGACGUCUGGAGGAGCAACAACGAUGAACGGUCCUAAGGUAGGACAGUAGCUGCCUUAGUAAAAUCUGGCUAUAUGCUGGAAAACCCGAGAAUCCCGCGCUACUGCAACGUGCAGUGACAAUGCGACGGGUGCGGACAAUCAGCAGGAAAGACUGCUCCGCGGAGCAGAAUCCUCAGAGACCAUACGCCAGACAGUUCAAAUCGAGCUGAAGAUAUGGUCCCAUCUGCAUGGCGACAUGCAGGGAGGUCGUGGAACAACCUCCGCUCAGACGGAAACGUCUAAGUCAAGGAUUAAGCGAAAUUCCUUGUCGGGUAAGUUCCGACCCGCACGAAUGGCGUAACGAGAUGGGCGCUGU